This 319-nucleotide ribosomal RNA is filed under the name uncultured eukaryote. RNAcentral describes it as "partial 18S ribosomal RNA". It matches the Rfam family "Eukaryotic small subunit ribosomal RNA", at positions 1470 to 1796 of the family's 1831-position model. The record is from RNAcentral.
CCCUUAGAUGUUCUGGGCCGCACGCGUGCUACACUAAGUGGAUCAGCGGGUCAGGUUGCGCGAAAGCGUUUCCUAAUCUUUAAAUCCGCUCGUGAUGGGGAUUGACGGUUGCAAUUUUCUGUCAUGAACGAGGAAUACCUUGUAAGCGCGGGUCAUCAUCCCGCGCUGAAUACGUCCCUGCCCUUUGUACACACCGCCCGUCGCUCCUACCGAUUGAAUGCUCAGGUGAGCCAUUCGGACCUUCAUCAUGCCGGUUUCCGGUUUUGAUGAGGGAAAGUCUUGCGAACCUUAUCAUUUAGAGGAAGGAGAAGUCGUAACA